RNAcentral lists this non-coding RNA (110 nucleotides) under Alkalithermobacter thermoalcaliphilus. RNAcentral's name for it is "Clostridium paradoxum TPP sequence". It matches the Rfam family "TPP riboswitch aptamer (THI element)". Rfam says of the family: Vitamin B(1) in its active form thiamin pyrophosphate (TPP) is an essential coenzyme that is synthesised by coupling of pyrimidine and thiazole moieties in bacteria. Lineage: Bacteria; Bacillati; Bacillota; Clostridia; Peptostreptococcales; Tepidibacteraceae. The record is from RNAcentral.
AAAUAUCAAAAGGGGAGCUGGAUUAAUCUGGCUGAGAGGGAGUUGUGUUACUCCGACCCUAGAACCUGAUCUGGGUAAUGCCAGCGUAGGAAGUAUAGAAAUUGUAAUGA